UUUGUGGAGAGUUUGAUCCUGGCUCAGGAUGAACGCUGGCGGCGUGCUUAACACAUGCAAGUCGAACGGAAAGGCCGAAGCUUGCUUCGGUACUCGAGUGGCGAACGGGUGAGUAACACGUGGGUGAUCUGCCCUGUACUUCGGGAUAAGCUUGGGAAACUGGGU
Molecule: ribosomal RNA, 165 nt
Filed under: Corynebacterium pseudogenitalium
Lineage: Bacteria; Bacillati; Actinomycetota; Actinomycetes; Mycobacteriales; Corynebacteriaceae
Description: partial 16S ribosomal RNA
Rfam family: Bacterial small subunit ribosomal RNA
Source: RNAcentral